UUCACUUUUUGACUCUUCAUCUUAUUCAAUUUUUUUUGCGAUUGAUAUUUUUAUUUUAAUUAGAUGAUAAAUCAUAAAUAGUACUUUACAUGUGACUAAUUUUUUUAAAUUUUCUAAAAUUUUUUUAAAUAAGACGAAUGGUUAAACGUUGGACAGGAAAACC
RNAcentral lists this microRNA precursor (163 nucleotides) under Oryza brachyantha (malo sina). Its description in RNAcentral is "MIR812 microRNA precursor family". It matches the Rfam family "MIR812 microRNA precursor family", at positions 27 to 189 of the family's 205-position model. Lineage: Eukaryota; Viridiplantae; Streptophyta; Magnoliopsida; Poales; Poaceae. The record is from Rfam by way of RNAcentral.